Molecule: long non-coding RNA, 328 nt
Organism: Physella acuta
Lineage: Eukaryota; Metazoa; Mollusca; Gastropoda; Physidae
Source: RefSeq, a predicted model, not a curated record
CAUUAUCGUCUGCUCAGCUUUUGGUACCAGAUUACCCUCUAGUCUGGAGCAGAGUUAACGGUCUUCCCAACGGUUCAGCUAUCCAAAACUACCCAUUUGACGGUAACACAAAUACAUAUCGGACUGAGUUAACCUUUGUUCCUGGAGGAUCUGACAAUGAUGUUCCUUUAUUUUGUACGGCAAGUGACGGCUUUAGUUCAAAGACAAGCUCGAUCACAAUUAGCGUCAUUUUGGUGCCGUAUACUCCAAACAUCACCGGAAACCUUACGGUCAGAGCUGGAGUUACGGACAGCUGGACGUGUGUUGUAGAUGGUGCCAGCUACAUCCC